This is a long non-coding RNA of Alligator mississippiensis (American alligator), 7599 nucleotides long. RefSeq lists it as uncharacterized. NCBI's taxonomy places the organism in Eukaryota, Metazoa, Chordata, Crocodylia, Alligatoridae. The record is from RefSeq and is a predicted model, not a curated record. The transcript has 5 exons.
AUGGGGGGCCGGAAAGGAGCGCGUCGCGGGCUGUGAAGGUUGGAGACGGCUGCGGCUUUUUAUGAAUGGAGGCAGGCGGCAGCUGCGCGCGCACCGCCCCUAGCCGGGCCCGAGGAAUGACUGUUGUUGCUGAGCUCAUAAUUUCACUGCGUGUGCCACCCUGCCGAUCAGAUGAGAAGGCCUGCGGCUGACUGGCUGCAGCCAGAGCAGAGCCCAGGAAUGUAGAACGGCCAGCGGAUCCCCUUCCUCAAAAUAAAAGUGCGAUACAUACAUCUGUUGCUGCUGGGGAGAGAGCAGAGUCUACAGGCAGAGAGCCCUUCAUCCACAACUGAAAUGCAGCUGCCACCAGGAUGAUAUUCAUCACUUCAUGACAGUGCACAGCAAUCAGAGAUAGCAAGGCAGGACUGGAAGUAAUGAAUAGUUCUGCACCCAAUGGAGACUGCAGGGAGAUAUCAGGUUGUCCAGAGAAGUGGACAGAGAGAACAAAGGGGACAGAGAUGCAACUGGACCUGGAGACAGUGCGAAGGACUACAACAGGAUCAGCAGCAGGGGAAAUGACAGUGACAGUGCCAGCGACAAGGACAGUGAAUGAACGAGAAUGUAAACACCAAAUUGGGGUUUGGACUAAAGGGCUGCGAUUUGGGUAGGUAAGGGGGGAGGGAGGGUCCACAGGGGCGCAGGGGAUUGGAUGCAUUUAUUGUAACGGGAAUUGCGGGUUUCUUAAUGCAGUUUUAAGAUGUGUGAUGGAAAGCUUAUGACCGAGGAUGUGUAUAUAUAUAACUCUCUCUCUCUCUAUAUAGAAAUACAUUUGAAUUUAAAAAAAAGUCUCACUGAGAAUACCACCAGCCUUGUUUUCCUGUGUCCCCUUCACCAGCUGGGACAGACUUCACCUUGCCCACUCCCGGGCACUUGAAUCCUUGGUGCUUUCAGCGCCUUCUCCAUUAACUCACAAGGCCCAGCUGGAGGCCUGUUGUCAAAUGAUUUCCAUGAUACAAAGAAGAAAAGCUAAAUGCUUUUAAUCCUUUCAGGGUGUGGAGCCAGCUCAGAAAAAGCCACCUCCUUUGAGCAGGACAAAACAUAUUGUAUUUUUAACCAUUGAUGCCUUUUUUUUUCCUUGUGCAUUGUGUUUGCUGGAGGAAUAUGGAACUGGCACCUUUUUCUGCUGAACAGCUCAUCGGCUCGCUUCUUAAAUUCGUCAGCUAAGAAAAACAACACCAAAAUCCAUUUCCUUGUUCUUUUUUCCUGUAAGUCACACUUGCUGCAGCUUCUCUAUUUCUCUCCCUCAGUAAUCCCCUUUGGUCUUUUGGUUGCAAGAUGUACCAGGACUCUCUGACUCACCUCUUUCACAACCAGUCCUUCAAAAUGGCUAGGCCUGAAAAUAUCCAUCUUCCACUGCCAUGUCUUGUUGAGAUUUCAUAGUUACAUAGUAGGUCGGGUCAGAAGACACCUGAGCAGAUCAUCAAGUCCGACCCCCUGCCAUGGGCAGGAAAGAAUGCUGGGGUCAAACGACCCCGGCCAGGUCGUUUUGAUCUCUAAGUUUGCAGUGAAGGGUCAGAGUGAAGUGACUUUGCUUUUAGAGCUAAAAAAGGUAUAUCGGUGGCAAAAAAAAAGAAGAGGCAAAGAUCCAAACUGUACAGUGUGGGAUUUACAAAUUGGGAGAUGGGGCUGAGUCAUGGGGUUGACAGUCUAAACCCAAAUCGCAAUCAGAACAGCGGAGGUAAGAUAAAUAAAAUAGAUGGGCUUGAGACAGAGUAUUUGGAUCCAAAUUUAGAAUCACACCCUACAGUUCUGGGGUACUUGGGAACUGGAAUAUGCUUUUCCCAUUUUUCAGCCUGUAUUUGCAGGUCUCCCAGAUUAGAGUCAGCGCACUUUGAUGGGAAUUUCCAUAGGAAUCUGCAAGUACUGAUAAACAUCUAUAAAGGGUUUUUUUCCAGGAAAGAGACUAGGUCUUUUGAACUGGCAAAUGUCAGGAGUAAUCCAACUGAAACCAAUAGAAAUUACACUAUUAAAACAAUGUAAGUGAAAGCAGAAUCAGGCAUGAGCUAAGGGAGGGUCAAAGACAAUGACUGCUUUAGCCAGCCAGGAACAGGGGAAGGUAGAGCAGCAAAGUCAAUGCUUCUGAGCUGAUAACUGAACAAAGCUGAGAGGAAAUGAACAUAUGUGUGGUCAAAGGCCAGUGCAGACAGGUACCUUAUAUAUUGCACAGGGCUUCUGCACUUCCCUGGAAUUCCAAGAUUUCCCAGUGAAAUCCAAGAUCUCUAGAAAUCCUGUGUCUGGGAAACUAGAAUUUGGGACUUUUUAUAUGCUCCCUAAAAUCCACAAACAAGGGAACCCUAGCAGACCUAUCAUAUCCAACCAUGGGAUCCUAACUGAGGAAGUAUCAGGUUUUGUCGAAUCAAUCCUAAAACCGCGUGUCACCCAAAGAGCAAAUUUUAUCUAAGACACUACAGACUUUCUAUGGAAACUUAAAAACAUAGACCACCUUCCCAGCCACACCUUCCUAGCCACGAUGGAUGUUACCAGCUUAUAUACCAACAUGUCACACCAGGAUGGCAUCCAAACCUGCCUUACAUAUCUACAAGUGCAAGAUUACAACUCAGAGUACAGACCCAAAGAUAUUACUGACCUUAUACACUUCAUCCUCACACACAACAAUUUCACUUUUAAUAACCAACACUUCCUCCAGAUCACAGGCACAGCUAUGGGCACCAAAAUGGCCCCACAGUAUGCCAACAUUUUAUGAGCCACCUGGAAGAAGAAUUCCUCGAGGACUGCACCAUCAAACCCUUGCUAUUCUUAAGAUAUAUCGAUGACAUCUUCAUCAUUUAGACUGAAAACCUGCAAUCUCUGAUUGAGUUCCAUCAGAAAUCGAACAAUCACCAUCCCUCCAUCUGAGUAUCUGUUAAAUACUCCAGCACCAACAUCUCCUUUUUAGACAUGAUUAUCAGUAUCCAGAAUGGUAAAAUACAGACCACGUUAUACAAGAAACCCACAGACCAACAUACAUAUCUGCACAGAACCAGCAAUCACCCGAAACACACCAAGAAAGCUGUGAUAUACAGCCAAGCCCUCAGAUACCACCGAAUUUGCACUGAAGAGAACGCCUGGGAUCGCCACCUCACCAAUCUUAAAAGGCUUUCACCCAACAAGGACACUCUUCCAGAGAGAUAAAUUGCAUGUUUGAAAGAGCCACCCGGAUACCAUGUGAAGAAUUGCUGCAGUACAGAAGAAACUCCCCCUAUGAAUUGCACACCGCUGGUUAUGACAUAUCACCCCUCCCUUGAACCCAUCAGAAAAUCCUCAAACAAUUGCAACCCAUACUAGAAAGAGACCCUAUUAAAGAGAUCUUCCCAGAACCACCCAUCCUAGCCUUCAAACAUGCACCGAACCUCUCUAAGCUCAUCACCAGAAGCAAACUUCCUACAGCCCAAAACACACCGAAUGGAUCCAGACCGUGCCAUGACAAGAAAUGCAAAACCUGCCAACACGUCCCCACCACCCCCACAAUCACUACACCCCGCAACAGAGCCAUCAGCAUCCCUGGAUCUUACAGUUGCACCUCCAGAAAUGUAACAUAUCUCAUCCAGUGCACCAAAUGCCCUGAUGGAAAAUACGAAGGAGAGACCAAACAACAACUGCGCACCAGAAUGAACGCACGUUGGAAAUCUAGCAAAGACAAGAAUACCCAGUUACCGGUGGGGGCACAUUUCUCACAAGAAAACCACCCUGUCUCCAAUCUCAGUUCUAAUCCUCCAAGGGAACUUACAAAACACUUCUCAGAGACGAGCCUACGAACUCCACUUCAUCAACCUCCUGGAUACAAAAAAUCAUGGACUAAAUAUAGACGUUGGAUUUAUGACGCAUUAUAACCUGCCUGACAUCUGACUCCCCAGGUACCUCUCCACUAUUCAUCCCCCUUUUUUCUCCUCCUCCCCAGCCUGUCUCUCACCCACUCACUCCUCUACAUCUUCACUGACUGCCUGUCUCGCUGCAGCCCAGCCUCUGGCCUCUUUACUAUUCCUUCCAUCCGGAAAAAGCACACACCAACUGCAGAUGGUUCCUCAGCCUGAUGAAGGGUUUUUAAGCCUGAAAGCUUGCUAAAUUUUUUUUUCCAACUAUUUAAGCUGGUUUAAUAAAAGAUAACCAGAUUCACCCAAAGAACCUUGUCUGCCUAGAAUUUGGAUUAGAACUUCAGGUUCUAAUUCCUGGGAACAUUUUUAAAAACAAUUUCCUAAUAAUCUGUCAUUGUUCUCUAUCAUUACGGGAACAUUGGAAUACAUUGCUCUCAUUUUCAUUGUUUUAAGAUAAUAUAAAGACAAAACCCACCUCAUUGAAUUAGACUGGGGUUUUGUUUUCCUUCUGGAACCACGUGGCAUAAACCUGCCUUGGACAGUUGGGGGAUUUCCAAUUUCCUGUGCACUGUUAAAUUGGCACAUGUGAGCACAGAGAUUGUCAGGCCUCAUUGCCUAAUUUUUGCUGAGAUGCCUGAAGCUUGAUCCACAAAAUGCUCAGGCACUUAAAUGCCAUCAUACAGUUCCUGAAGGGGGACUAAGUUCAAAAUUUGCCACCUUGCCCUGGAGACUUCUGAGCAGUAAAGUUCCCAAAGCCAAGCAUGCCCAGAAAUGCUGAGUCUUGACAGUGCUGAGCAAUUGGGUGCCUUAUGCUCUGUCAGGAUCAAUGUAUUAGCCAUUUUUUGCCUAUCUGAUCUUCAGCAGAGACAGACCCUUUUUAAAAAAGCUUUUAUUAAUCUUCAUUAUAAAAAAGUAACAAAAAUCUUGAGAAAAGCAACCAAUUAAAAGCCCAGAACCGUACAUGGGGCUAGGGAGAGAGGGAAGGCAAGUGGGCGAAUAUGAUAUUCUAGCCCAGUGGUGCUUAACCUUUUGGCCCUACGGACCAGAUGAGUGGGGCAAGACUAGUCUAUGGGCUGGAUUGAGCUCUGUGCACCAGGAUUGGGUCGUGGGGCUCAGCACCACCCCACCCCUGCCUCUAGUGCUGGGAGCAGGCCUUGGAGCCCAGCAUUGCUCCCUCCUACCUCUGUGCCCUGGGACUGGUCUUUGAGAGGGGAGAGGGGGCUGGCACUACCCCCCCAGCUCCCCACACUGAGAGUGGGCCCUGAGACCUGGCAUCACUCCUGCCUGGCCCUGUCUGCUGGGAUCAGGUGUCUGAUCCAGUGUGCAGGGCUGAGGGCUCCCCACAGUCCAAGAAUUGGGAGGGGGGGGGGGGAAACAGUGCUCUUUUGCUGCCAAAUGUUUGGACCUGUGGGGAGCUCCAUGGACUGGAUGACACUGGACAGCAGGCCAUAUCUGGCCUGUGAGUUGGGGGUUGCAUGCGGGCCCUCCCCUGAAAAGAGAAACCAUGAAUUCCAGUCCUUUCUUCCCUUAAUGUCUAAGUUUUUUAUAAUAUGUAUUUACCCCCUCCUCUUCUGGCCAUUUGUUGGAGGAAGGGCUGGCAUAUGAGUCUUGCUCCAAGAAAGGGUUAAGAUUGGGGCAAUCCUUGAUAAGGACAGGCUUGUGUCCUCAAGCAUUCUCUGUUGGCUUUCUUAGUUGGCUCCUCACACUACAUGCUGGCUUUUGUGAAUCCCAUUCUUGGCUCAUCAGCUGCCCCUGUGUUUUGCAGAGGGAGCUUCAGCGCCUAAGCUGGAGCUGUGGAUUCCAAUAAUUGGGAAAGUGUUGAAAAAUUAGGUGCUUUGACAUUUCACCGUCCACACCUUUUUGUGGGGUUAGCCUCUAGGACUUUGAAUUGGAACUGUGAGCAGGCAUUCCCCCAGCUGUCCUAAGCUAUGCUCCAAAAAAGCUGAGACAUGCCAAAUCAGUGGACAACUGAAAAUGUCAGCCUAAAUGACUCAGCCAAUGCUACACAGUAAGUCAGAAGCAAACACAAGAAUCCACUAGUUCUUAUUCUCAACCCCUUUUCUGUAAUCACUAUGCAACACCUUCCGUGUUGGAUCAUACAAUAUGUUUCUGCUACUGUGGCCUUCAUACAAUUGACCUAUUAAAAGCACAACCCGGAUAUUGCAAAAAUACAUGCUACAAGUCAGUCAGUUAGUGAUUGCCCAACGUAACAUUAGAAUCUGAUGCCCUUCAGAGGCACAGGCACCAUUCAUGUGUGUGCAGCCUCAGCAAGCUGAAAUAGCCCUCUGGAAAGAAAGGACUGCCAAGGAACACAGGGCUGUGGGUCUCCUCCAAACCUUGAAGCUUUUGAAACCUUUGCACAAAGAGCAGAAGCUGGCAGUAUUACUGCAUUAUAUGUUCCAUACAAUAUUCAUUUCCUUAACCCAUACAGCAUGUGGAUCAUUUGGCAUAACCCUGAUUUUUGAGGCCACAUGGGGCUUUUAGUUGUAUCAGAUGCCUGGCCACAUUAGGGACUGAUUUCAGAAUUUGUCUUUGUCUUUUCCAAGAAAGAUUUUGGAGUCGAACUCUGAUUUCCUGGCAUGAGUUUGUGCUGCAGUGUCCAACCUCUGUAUUCCCUCUUUGGUACAGCCAUAGUCAUGUUGUGUGUAAACAAGCCAGUCUGGACUUCUCUGCCUGCAUGUGUCCCCCUGAGGUUAUGCCGUCUACAAGAUGGUGUCAAAAAGAAAAUAAAACCUGUAAGAAGGUGAUAAAGAUAUUUCCAUCUGUUGCUCUUUGACUAGAUCUUUUGGAUUCUAUUCAAUCUUCCAGUCUCCUAUCCUUUGCUUUUCAUUACCUCACCUCAACCACUUUGUCUCGUGUCCUGGCAUAUUAAAAGCCUCAUCCACAUAACUUGUUGAGGUUGAAGUCCCCACGUAAACAUCCACCAUAAGCUUACAGUUGUUAUUUGUAGAAAAGAUCAACACAAGUUGCUGGGCUGGUCUUUGGAUGAGCUUUCUUUUAGUCCCUGGAAUAGAGAGACACUAUGGCUUUGGCUUAUGGCAAAUGACAGCCUUUGCUUGGGUGAAACUUGCCUUUAUCUAUAAUUACCUCUUUUAUUUAUACAUUCCUACUCUGGACAUCUCUGCAGAUUCUGUAGUCUGAUUUCAUUCAUGACUCCUUUUCCAUCUAGGCUUCCUUUUCCUCUAGGAUCAUGACUAGUGCUGUCCACAAUUUUCACUUGACUAACAAUCCACUUUUGAUCUAGUUUCCCUGUACUUGGGCUUAUGCCCUGACUCUACUCUCUGCUUGAUCUCCUGGUUUCCUGAUGGCUUGUCCCUGAAUUCUGCUUACUUCUUUUGACUCUAAUUGCCAUCUUGAUCCCUGACUGGCCCCAGACUUGGCUGCCCAUGACCUGGCCCUUCCGUUCAGGUCGUAAGUUGAUCACUGUUUUCAGGAAGACCUGUGCAUUUGGUGCUAAAGUACUACACAGCAGCUCUCCAAGGAUUUUACUUUUGUCUUUAAAGAAGGACACCUGUUCACUGGCAGUGGCAGGAUGCUGAACUCAAGGGAACAUUGCUGUGAUCCAGAAUGGCAGGUUUCUAUGCCCCUCAUCAUAUAUGGGGCUUUUUGCAUAUAGUGAAUGUACUUCUAGUUUGGAGAAGCUAUGGCAGGGGCUGGCAAUGUUUUUGGGCUGAUUGCCAAAAACACCCCAACCUUGCUUGUAAGAUAUUGGCAUGCCAUGGGCAGGCAGCAGGGGAGCCACAAGGGG